RNAcentral lists this ribosomal RNA (554 nucleotides) under uncultured Archaeospora. Its description in RNAcentral is "SSU rRNA". It matches the Rfam family "Eukaryotic small subunit ribosomal RNA", at positions 548 to 1103 of the family's 1831-position model. Lineage: Eukaryota; Fungi; Glomeromycota; Glomeromycetes; Archaeosporales; Archaeosporaceae. The record is from RNAcentral.
UUGGAGGGCAAGUCUGGUGCCAGCAGCCGCGGUAAUUCCAGCUCCAAUAGCGUAUAUUAAAGUUGUUGCAGUUAAAAAGCUCGUAGUUGAAUUUUGGAUUCUGCCAGUUGGUCCAUCUUUUGAUGAGUACUGAUUGUGUGGGGUCUAUCCGCCUGGUGAUACGUAAUGUACUUUAUUGUAUGUUACGGGUAGUCAGGACCUUUACCUUGAAAAAAUUAGAGUGUUUAAAGCAGGCUUAUGCCGGAAUACAUUAGCAUGGAAUAAUAGAAUAGGACGAUGUUGUUUUAUUUUGUUGGUUUCUAGGACAACCGUAAUGAUUAAUAGGGAUAGUUGGGGGCAUUAGUAUUCAAUUGUCAGAGGUGAAAUUCUUGGAUUUAUUGAAGACUAACUACUGCGAAAGCAUUUGCCAAGGAUGUUUUCAUUAAUCAGUGAACGAAAGUUAGGGGAUCGAAGACGAUCAGAUACCGUCGUAGUCUUAACCGUAAACUAUGCCGACUAGGGAUCGGGCGAUGUUCUUCUUUUUGACUCGCUCGGCACCCUAUGGGAAACCAAAG